GAUGAACGCUGGCGGCGUGCCUAAUACAUGCAAGUCGAACGAACAGAUUAUGAGCUAGCUCCUCUGACGUUAGCGGCGGACGUGUGAGUGACAGGUUGAUAACCUACCUAUAAGACUGGGAUAAGUUCGUGAAACCGGAGCUAAUACCGUAUAAUAUCUUAAAACUCAUUGUUCAAUAGUAAAUGACGGUUUUGUUGUAACUCAUAACUGCAACCUCGCCGAAUUAGGUAGUUGGUAAGGUAACGGCUUACCAAGGCAACAUUGCGUAACCGACCUGGGAGGGGGUCCGGCACAACUGGACCUGGGAACCGGCCCAGAUUCCUAGGGGAGGAAGCAGUAGGGAAUCUUCGGCAUUGGGCGAAAGCCUGACGGAGAAACGCCGCGUGAGUGAUGAAGGUCUUCGGAUCGUAAACCUUUGUUAUUAGGGAAGAACAAAUGUGUAAGUAAAUAUGCACGUUUUGACGGUACCUAACCAGAAAGCCACGGCUAACUACGUG
This 497-nucleotide ribosomal RNA is filed under the name uncultured bacterium. Its description in RNAcentral is "partial 16S ribosomal RNA". It matches the Rfam family "Bacterial small subunit ribosomal RNA", at positions 28 to 507 of the family's 1533-position model. The record is from RNAcentral.